GAUGAACGCUGGCGGCGUGCUUAACACAUGCAAGUCGAACGGACAGACCUGGAUUUUGUUCCUGUGUCGGUAGCGGCGGAUGGGUAAGUAACACGUGGAUCAUCUAUCUAUUAGACUGGGAUAACGUAGAAACAUGGGAGCCAGUAUCGGAUUAUAUAUUGGACUGCAUGGUUCUAUCGGGAAAGGAGAUUGUGUUUCUAGUUAUAGGUGGUUCCGCGCCGCAUUAGCUAGUUGGUAAGGGGACGGCUUACUAAGGCGACGAUGCGUAGCCGACGUGAGAGGGUGAUCGGCCACACUGGCACUGAGACACGGUCCAGACUCCUACGGGAGGCAGCAGUAGGGAAUCUGCCGCAAUGGGCGAAAGCCUGACGGAGCAACGCCGCGUGAGUGAUGAAGGUCUUCGGAUCGUAAAUCUCUGUUAUUAGGGAAGAACAAAUGUGUAAGUAACUAUGCACGUCUUGACGGUACCUAAUCAGAAAGCCACGGCUAACUACGUG
Molecule: ribosomal RNA, 497 nt
Filed under: uncultured bacterium
Lineage: Bacteria
Description: partial 16S ribosomal RNA
Rfam family: Bacterial small subunit ribosomal RNA
Source: RNAcentral